UCUUCUCUUUUACUGUGAGCCCUUAAC
RNAcentral lists this non-coding RNA (27 nucleotides) under Mus musculus (house mouse). Lineage: Eukaryota; Metazoa; Chordata; Mammalia; Rodentia; Muridae. The record is from RNAcentral.